This 294-nucleotide unclassified non-coding RNA is filed under the name fungal sp. RNAcentral describes it as "partial internal transcribed spacer region". The stretch from base 1 to 46 matches the Rfam family "Eukaryotic small subunit ribosomal RNA", at positions 1786 to 1831 of the family's 1831-position model. The record is from RNAcentral. Lineage: Eukaryota; Fungi.
AAGUCGUAACAAGGUUUCCGUAGGUGAACCUGCGGAAGGAUCAUUAAUGAAUUCGCUCUUGAAGUUGUCGCUGGCCUCUAGGGGCAUGUGCACGCUUCAUCAGUACCAUUCAACCACCUGUGCACCUUUGAUAGAUUCGCGAAGUUGGCUGCGGAUAGGGGUUUGCCCCUUUUUAGUGGCUGACUUUGCGGUCUAUAUUACACACUCUUACAUGUAUGUUUUAUGAAUGUCAUUACUUUGGGCCAUGUGCCUAUAAACCUAAUACAACUUUCAACAACGGAUCUCUUGGCUCUC